This 76-nucleotide transfer RNA is filed under the name Alphaproteobacteria bacterium. Its description in RNAcentral is "tRNA-Phe". It matches the Rfam family "tRNA". From Rfam's summary of the family: Transfer RNA (tRNA) molecules are approximately 80 nucleotides in length. Their secondary structure includes four short double-helical elements and three loops (D, anti-codon, and T loops). Lineage: Bacteria; Pseudomonadati; Pseudomonadota; Alphaproteobacteria. The record is from RNAcentral.
GCCCGGGUAGCUCAGUAGGUAGAGCAGAGGACUGAAAAUCCUCGUGUCGGUGGUUCGAAUCCGCCCCUGGGCACCA